This 484-nucleotide ribosomal RNA is filed under the name uncultured bacterium. RNAcentral describes it as "partial 16S ribosomal RNA". It matches the Rfam family "Bacterial small subunit ribosomal RNA", at positions 30 to 507 of the family's 1533-position model. The record is from RNAcentral.
AUUGAACGCUGGCGGCAGGCCUAACACAUGCAAGUCGAGCGGAUGAAGGGAGCUUGCUCCUGGAUUCAGCGGCGGACGGGUGAGUAAUGCCUAGGAAUCUGCCUGGUAGUGGGGGAUAACGUCCGGAAACGGGCGCUAAUACCGCAUACGUCCUGAGGGAGAAAGUGGGGGAUCUUCGGACCUCACGCUAUCCGAUGAGCCUAGGUCGGAUUAGCUAGUUGGUGGGGUAAAGGCCUACCAAGGCGACGAUCCGUAACUGGUCUGAGAGGAUGAUCAGUCACACUGGAACUGAGACACGGUCCAGACUCCUACGGGAGGCAGCAGUGGGGAAUAUUGGACAAUGGGCGAAAGCCUGAUCCAGCCAUGCCGCGUGUGUGAAGAAGGUCUUCGGAUUGUAAAGCACUUUAAGUUGGGAGGAAGGGCAGCAAGUUAAUACCUUGCUGUUUUGACGUUACCAACAGAAUAAGCACCGGCUAACUUCGUG